This 449-nucleotide ribosomal RNA is filed under the name uncultured bacterium. Its description in RNAcentral is "bacterial SSU rRNA". It matches the Rfam family "Bacterial small subunit ribosomal RNA", at positions 29 to 524 of the family's 1533-position model. The record is from RNAcentral.
AACGAACGCUGGCGGCAUGCCUAAUACAUGCAAGUCGAACGAACACUUCGGUGUUAGUGGCGCACGGGUGCGUAACGCGUGGGAACCUGCCUUUAGGUUCGGAAUAACUCAGAGAAAUUUGAGCUAAUACCGGAUAAUGUCUUCGGACCAAAGAUUUAUCGCCUUUAGAUGGGCCCGCGUAAGAUUAGCUAGUUGGUGGGUAAAGGCCUACCAAGGCGACGAUCUUUAGCUGGUCUGAGAGGAUGAUCAGCCACACUGGGACUGAGACACGGCCCAGACUCCUACGGGAGGCAGCAGUGGGGAAUAUUGGACAAUGGGCGAAAGCCUGAUCCAGCAAUGCCGCGUGAGUGAUGAAGGCCCUAGGGUUGUAAAGCUCUUUUACCAGGGAUGAUAAUGACAGUACCUGGAGAAUAAGCUCCGGCUAACUCCGUGCCAGCAGCCGCGGUAAU